CCGGCCUGCAUCCCCUCCCCCUCCGCCCCGCAGCCGGCCCGCACCCAUCGGCCCCGCAGCGGGCCGCGGCGGCGGGGGCGGGGCGGGCCAGGCCGGGGGAGCCUCACGGCGCCUGCGGGUCUUUAUUCGUGCAGGACUCGGCGGCGCGCCCCCAGCCCCAGCCCCAGCCCCAGCCCCAGCCCCAGCCCCCAGCCCCCAGCGUCGGCGGAGGGGCGGGAGGGGCGGGCGGGGCGGGCGGGGCGGGCGGGCGCGAGCGAGCGCGGCGCGGCGGGCCGCCCCCUCCCCGUCGCCCUCCCCUCCCCUCCCCCGUCCGCGGCGCCCCUCCCCCUCCGCUCCCGGCCCCGCCGGCCCCUCCCCCGCGCGCCCGCCCGGCGCAGGCCGCUCGGGUUUGUUUUGCUGAGCGGCCGCCGCCGCCGGGGCCUCGCGAGCUCAUUUGUGCCUGGCUGGUCCCCGCCCGCUCCGCGGGGCCGAGCGCCGGGCCGUGGGCUGCUCCGAGCCGUUGGGCUCUCUCCCUCGGUGACGGCGCCCACCCUCGCCCGGCUCCCCGCGCCCCCGCCCGCGCCCGCGCCCGCGCCCCGCGCCCCGCCCCUCCCCCGCGGCGGGAGCCCCCGCCCCGCCCCCCCGGCCCCGCGCCCCCGCCCGCGCCCCCGCCCGCCCGCGCCCGCCGGGGCUCGCAGCGCCGCGCACCCCGAGGGGUUAUUUUGGGGGCGGCUGGCGGCGGCGGCGGCGGCCAGGAGGGGACUUUCCGUGCGCCUCGGUUCCCGGGAGGGGGAGCGGCGUCGGAGGCCGGCGUCCCAGGUAAGCGCGGGGGCGGGCGGGCGGGCGGGGGGGCGCGGGGAGGGGAGGGGGCGGGGAGGGGCGCGCGCGGCCCGGGAGCCCCCUCCCCCGCCGGCCGGAGCGACCCCGGGGCCCGCGCCCCGCCCCGCGCCCGCCCCCGCCGGCCUGGGGGUCCCCGGCCGCCCGCGCCCCUCCCCCGCGCACGGACCCCUCCUGCGCGUGUGCGUGUGCGUGUGCGCGUGUGUGCGCGUGUGUGAGUGUGUGUGCGGGGCGCGGCGCGGGCGCGGGGCGGCGGGGGAGGCCUUCGGGGAGCCUGUGCGGCAGAGCCGGUGCGGGAGCCAUCAUGAGGCCGACUCCCGGGAGCCUAUUUUUAGCCGAGGAGGGAGCUCUCGGGUGCACGUUCCUCGGUUCGCAGGGGCGCUGUGCCGGCGGCCGCGGGCGCGGGGGGAGGGCGCGGGGGGAGGGGGCGGGGGAGGGGCGGGAGGGCGCGCCCGGGGCGCGGGGGGAGGGCGGGGGCGGGGGCGGGGGCGGGCGCGGGGCCGCGUGCGUGCAGCGGGCGCCGGGGCUGGCGCGAGGAGGCGAGGCCGGGCCGGGCCGGGCCGGGCCGGGAAGUUGGGCUGGGAGCGCGGCCCCGGCGAAGUUGCGGCGGCCCCGGUGAGCGUCGGGCGGCGGGUCCUCGGGACGCGCUGGGGAACUUCCUCCUCGCGGCCCGCGCGUUUCCUUCCUUCCUGGCGUUCGGGCCCCGGCGGACUUUGUGACUGA
This 1539-nucleotide long non-coding RNA is filed under the name Canis lupus familiaris (dog). RNAcentral's name for it is "lncRNA (ENSCAFG00030024649.1)". The record is from RNAcentral. Lineage: Eukaryota; Metazoa; Chordata; Mammalia; Carnivora; Canidae.